This 198-nucleotide unclassified non-coding RNA is filed under the name uncultured Ascomycota. Its description in RNAcentral is "sequence contains ITS2". The record is from RNAcentral. RNAcentral also lists the same sequence under 1 other name. Lineage: Eukaryota; Fungi; Ascomycota.
CCACCCUCACGCGCCCUGUGCGCGUGGUGUUGGGGCUCGCUCUCCCUGCCCUGGCGCGGGAGAGGCCCUGAAAGCGAGUGGCGGGCCGCCUGGUCUGGCUCCGAGCGCAGUAGAAACGCACCGUUUUUCCCCUCGCUCUGGACGCCGCCGGCGCGCCCUGCCGUCAAAACCCGCACGCGCGACGUGCACACCUCACAA